ACACGACUACAUUAGAUACCCGGGUAGUCCCAGCCGUAAACUAUGCGCGUUAGGUGUACUGGUGACCACGAGUCACCGGGGUGCCGAAGGGAAACCGUGAAACGUGCCGCCUGGGAAGUACGGUCGCAAGGCUGAAACUUAAAGGAAUUGGCGGGGGAGCACCGCAACGGGAGGAGCGUGCGGUUUAAUUGGAUUCAACACCGUAAACUCACCAGGGAAGACUGUUACAUGAAGGCCGAGAUGAAGACUCUGCUAGAUUUUCAG
RNAcentral lists this ribosomal RNA (264 nucleotides) under uncultured archaeon. RNAcentral describes it as "partial 16S ribosomal RNA". It matches the Rfam family "Archaeal small subunit ribosomal RNA", at positions 717 to 982 of the family's 1478-position model. The record is from RNAcentral.